RNAcentral lists this long non-coding RNA (154 nucleotides) under Callithrix jacchus (white-tufted-ear marmoset). RNAcentral's name for it is "lncRNA (ENSCJAG00000081121.1)". Lineage: Eukaryota; Metazoa; Chordata; Mammalia; Primates; Cebidae. The record is from RNAcentral.
AUGAAAAAAAUAAAAAAGAUCAUAAUGGUCGAUGUUAUAAAAUUACAAUACCAUGACUUUAGUCUGAUCAUACACAGGGAUUGCCCAAUUGCUCUAUUAUUUCCUUUACCUACUUUUCCUCCUCUUUUUCCUCCUCCUCCUCCUCUACUGGGCA